Molecule: long non-coding RNA, 652 nt
Filed under: Eutrema salsugineum
Lineage: Eukaryota; Viridiplantae; Streptophyta; Magnoliopsida; Brassicales; Brassicaceae
Description: long non-coding RNA (ESAL_LNC000235)
Source: RNAcentral
GAAGUCCUACUUCUCUUCUAGCAGAAUUGACAUUUCGUAUGCAAUUUCUGUAUCAUUUCAUAAACAAAUAGUUUUAUAUAAAUAUUUUCUCAAGGUCUACGGCAAUUUGGGCCUCUAUAAAAGGGCAUUUACAUCACAUAUAUUUUGCAUCAGUAUUCAAAACAUUUUAAAAACGAAAGCUUAUACAUUUAUUCAUAUAUAAUCUCUGUACCAUCACCAUGUGUCGACUGUUAUGUUGUUGCUUCUGCCGCAAGAAGAAAAAGCCGCGAGAUGCGAAAAAGGGUAAAAAGGGAAAGAAGCGUCGCGAUGAUGUAGCUAUGGAAAUAAAUCCAGACGUUUGUUGCUGUUUUGGCGGGGGAGAUGGCGGAGGAGAUGGUGGCGGUGGAGACGGUGGUGGUGGAUGUGGAGGUGGAGGUGGCGGCUGCGGAGGUGGAGGUGGAGGCGGUUAAGAGAUGAGGUUUCCGUUGUUCUAUAUGUGACGAUGAUUUCUUGUAUGUGAUGUAUUUAUUAAUUUAUUUAUUUAUGUACGAUUUAAUUUGUUCUGUUGUUUCUUGUGAAAAGGAAAUUAUAAUUUAUACCUGACAUAUAAUGCAUUAUUCAUCAUAACAUUAUGUAGUUAAAUUUAUUCAGUUAGACUUAUAAUUAACUAACA